This 436-nucleotide ribosomal RNA is filed under the name Parascutigera nubila. RNAcentral describes it as "partial 28S ribosomal RNA". It matches the Rfam family "Eukaryotic large subunit ribosomal RNA", at positions 85 to 504 of the family's 3401-position model. The record is from RNAcentral. Lineage: Eukaryota; Metazoa; Arthropoda; Chilopoda; Scutigeromorpha; Scutigeridae.
AACGGCGAGUGAACAGGGAAGAGCCCAGCGCCGAAGCCUGCGCCCCGCGCGGGCGGCAGGCAAUGUGGCGUUCGGGAGAAACCUCUCCUUCCGGAAGCAGUCCCGGAGCCCAGGUCCCCCUGACCGGGGCCAUCGCCCGCCGAGGGUGCAAGGCCCGUUCGGCUCUGGGCGUCCGGAGGACGGUUCUUCUCUCCCGGGAGUCGGGUUGCUUGGGAGUGCAGCCCUAAGCGGGUGGUAAACUCCAUCUAAGGCUAAAUACUUCCACGAGACCGAUAGCAAACAAGUACCGUGAGGGAAAGUUGCAAAGAACUUUGAAGAGAGAGUUCAAGAGUACGUGAAACCGCUCGUAGGCAAACGGGUGGGCCCUCGAAGGCAAGCAGAAGGGGAUUCAACCCGUUGUUCGACAGCGCUCCCCGGUUUUUCUCGAAACGGAUCC